CAGAGACACGGACAAGAAUGUCCAGAGGAGAAUUAGUUAUGUAGCCCCAAACUGGAAACAAUCAAAAUACCUAGCAGUAGUGAAGUGGAUAAAUGAAUUUUCUUAUAAUCAUACCAUGGAAUAUUAAGCAGCAGUGAAAAUAAACAAAACAGAACUUCACAGCAACAUGGAUUAAUGUUAUAAAUGCAAUGCUGAGCAAAAGAAGCAAAACACAAAAGAUAUGUAGGGAAGGAUUCCAUUUAUAUAAACUCCAAAAACAGAAAAAUCUUCACUGUAUUGUAUAAGAAUGGAUAAACUAUAAAGAACUAUAACAGCCGGCAGAGAUUACCAUAAAAAUACAAGAACGAUUACCCCUAUGAAGAAAGGAGGGCAUGGGACUGAGAAGGCGUGCUUGGGGAUUCCCAUGGUGCUGGCAAUAUUCCAUUUCUUGACCUGGUUGGAUAUGUCCUGCUUCAUGAUCGUGAGAGCCAAAAUAAAUUCACAAUUCCUCUGUUAGUCACAAUACCAGGAUUUCUGAGUGCCCAUCCUAGUGACAGUGAGAGGGCAGUCUUUUCGCUUCCUAAGAUUGACCCUAAGCUAACAUCUGUGCCAGUCUUCCUCUACUUUGUAUAUGGGACGCUGCCACAGCAUGGCUUGAUGAGUAGUGCGAAGGUCCGAGCCAGGGAUUGGAAUCUGUGAACCCCGGACCGCCAAAGCAGAAAGCGUGAACUUAACCACUACGCCAUGGAGGGACCGCCGUGCCCAGUUGGUUUAAAUCAGCGCCUCUGAGAUGGCAGCACCAGGAGACCCCUUGGGCUCCAAGCAUCCAACCCCCAUGAGACAGCAGAGCUUCAUCCUGCAAGGCACGGCACCAAGUCAAAGAACUGGGUGAGCCCCCUCACACGGAGGGCGCUGGAUAGAGACGUUUAGUGUAACCAGAAAUUCAUUCUUCCCUCCAGCAAAUGUUUAUUAAGCAUCCACUAUGUUCCAGCUGUUAGAAGCCGUGGGGUUGCAACAGACAAUAAACCAAUAUAGUCUGUGUGAGUGUGUGUGUGUAUGUGUGUGAGAUGUUGAAAAGUUCUCCUAGGGAGAAAAAUUAAGACGGGAAGGGGAACAAGGAAUGUGGAAAUGGUUUGCAAUUUGAAAUAGGAUGGUGCAGGAAGGCCUUCUGGGAAGGGACCUUUGAAUAGAGAUCAGAAGAUAUGGUGGGAAUAAGCCAUGAAGACAUCUGAGGGAAGAGGGUCCCAGGCAGAGGGGACAGCAAGUGCAAAUGCCCUGGGGCAAGAUUGUGCUUGUCAUGGUUCAAAGAGCAGUGAAGAAGCCAGAGAGGGGGCUGAGGCAGGGGGCCAGAUGGAGUAAGGCCUUCCAGGUCACCAGGAUGCCCCAAAGUGGAUGUAAUACAUAGUGACAAAGGUACACAAUAGGAGUGAGGCCCAGAGCCGCUCAUUAGGCAACUCUAAACUUGUGUCUCAUUACCCAACCACACCUCCUGCAGUGCACUAUGAAUUAAUAUUUUCUAUAAAUCCUGUAAUUAUCUUGUGAAUAGCACAAUUAUAUUGCAUUGUAUUUGUAUGUGUUAAAAGCGCUCAUUUGUUAAAUGUAAACAUUUGAAAUAUACCAUGUAUUAUGCAGCCCUUUUCACACUUUUAUUUAAUAAACUGGAAGCCUUAAAAUUGGAAGCAGAAGGGCCUUUUCUUCCAAGAGUUCCCUGGAGGCAGGUCUACACUCACACUCAUCCACACCCUCACAUACACCACACUGACUCACCCACUCACCCACAGUGCCCAGCCAGAAGCCCGGGCUGGGAGGCAGAGACCUGUUCACCUGCCACUCGGGGUGGCCUCGGGCAGAUCCCUGCAGUGUCUUCCACUCCCUCCACCUCACCUUGCCCAGCCCUUAACAGUUUAUAGACAGCGUCCUUGUCCUCAUGGACCUUCACUACAAAAUGGGCAGGGGUUAAUGUGUCCAUUUUACAGACAGGUAAACUGAGGCUCUGAGUGGUGCCUGCUCAAAGCGGCUGAGGAUGGAACAGGGAGACUAGAGAAGGCAAAAUGGGGAUGGGGAAGAUUUAGAAGUUCAAAGGUGAGGAGAGGGGCGGGAGACUGUCUUUGCUGACUCUGGUGGACCAUGACCUCAGACAGACCUGGGUUUGAAUCCCAGCCCCACCACUUAUUUACUUUGGAUAAAUUCCUUAAACUCUCUGAGCCUCUGCUUCCAAAUCUUUAUAUUUACAUCCAAAUCAUUGUGGCAAUAAUGAUAGUACUCAC
RNAcentral lists this long non-coding RNA (2246 nucleotides) under Equus caballus (horse). RNAcentral describes it as "lncRNA (ENSECAG00000056760.1)". Lineage: Eukaryota; Metazoa; Chordata; Mammalia; Perissodactyla; Equidae. The record is from RNAcentral.